This 253-nucleotide ribosomal RNA is filed under the name uncultured bacterium. Its description in RNAcentral is "partial 16S ribosomal RNA". It matches the Rfam family "Bacterial small subunit ribosomal RNA", at positions 524 to 776 of the family's 1533-position model. The record is from RNAcentral.
UACGUAGGGUGCAAGCGUUGUCCGGAUUCAUUGGGCGUAAAGAGCUCGUAGGCGGCCACUCAAGUCGAAUGUGAAACCUCGAGGCUUAACCUCGAGCCUGCAUUCGAUACUGGGCGGCUAGAGUCUGGUAGGGGGAUCUGGAAUUCCUGGUGUAGCGGUGGAAUGCGCAGAUAUCAGGAGGAACACCGGUGGCGAAGGCGGUAUCCUGGGCCAGUACUGACGCUGAGGAGCGAAAGCGUGGGGAGCAAACAGG